UCCAGACUCCUACGGGAGGCAGCAGUGGGGAAUAUUGGGCAAUGGGCGCAAGCCUGACCCAGCAACGCCGCGUGAAGGAAGAAGGCUUUCGGGUUGUAAACUUCUUUUCUGAGGGACGAAGAAAGUGACGGUACCUCAGGAAUAAGCCACGGCUAACUACGUGCCAGCAGCCGCGGUAAUACGUAGGUGGCAAGCGUUAUCCGGAUUUAUUGGGUGUAAAGGGCGUGUAGGCGGGAAAGCAAGUCAGAUGUGAAAACUCAGGGCUCAACCCUGAGCCUGCAUUUGAAACUGUUUGUCUUGAGUGCGGGAGAGGCAAUCGGAAUUCCGUGUGUAGCGGUGAAAUGCGUAGAUAUACGGAGGAACACCAGUGGCGAAGGCGGAUUGCUGGACAGUAACUGACGCUGAGGCGCGAAAGCGUGGGGAGCAAACAGGAUUAGAUACCCUUGAA
RNAcentral lists this ribosomal RNA (448 nucleotides) under uncultured bacterium. Its description in RNAcentral is "partial 16S ribosomal RNA". It matches the Rfam family "Bacterial small subunit ribosomal RNA", at positions 330 to 792 of the family's 1533-position model. The record is from RNAcentral.